GCCCCCGUAGCCCAAUGGGAAGAGGCAACGCGCUCAGAACGCGUCCAGUCCAGGUUCGAAUCCUGGUGGGGGUACCA
This 77-nucleotide transfer RNA is filed under the name Amycolatopsis balhimycina DSM 5908. Its description in RNAcentral is "tRNA-Leu". It matches the Rfam family "tRNA". From Rfam's summary of the family: Transfer RNA (tRNA) molecules are approximately 80 nucleotides in length. Lineage: Bacteria; Bacillati; Actinomycetota; Actinomycetes; Pseudonocardiales; Pseudonocardiaceae. The record is from RNAcentral.